UUGUACCUUUUGUAUCAGGGAUAAUUAAUUUUUUUUAUAAAUAUAUUAUUCUCGAAAUUUAAUGAUUUAAGAUAUUUUGUUAGUUGAUGUGUUAUAAUCAUUAAUAAAAUUAUUUUGGGAAUGAAAUUUUUUCGUAUUAAAUGAUAUCUAGUUUCUUGAGAAUUGAAUUUAAUUCAGGAUAAAUUAUUAAUUAUUAAUUGAAUUUUUUAUUAUUUUUUUUAUCUAAAAAUAUUAAGGAUAAGCUAAAUAUUAAUUCUAUAUAGUGUAUGUAUAUAACCAAUUUAAUAAGCUUAAAACCAGCUAAUUUAUUAAUUAAGUUAAAUUUUAAUUUUUAUUAAAUUAUAUUUCUUUUUUAUUAGAUAUUUAUUAAGAAACUAAUUUUAAUAAAUUAAUUGAAUAAUAAUGAUUAUAUUAGUAUAAUUGUUAUAUUGAAUUUAUGAAUUAGGCAAUUUUAAUUUUCACCUGUUUAACAAAAACAUGUCUUUUAGAUUAAAUUAAAAGUCUAUUCUGCCCAAUGAUUUUUGAAUGGCCGCGGUAAUCUGACCGUGCAAAGGUAGCAUAAUAAUUAGUCUUUUAAUUAAAGGCUUGUAUGAAUGAUUGGAUGAAAAAUUUACUUUAUUAUUAAAAAUAAUUGAACUUAAUUUUUAAGUAAAAAAGCUUAAAUAAAUAAGUGGGACGAGAAGACCCUAUAGAGCUUUAAAGUUUUUAUUAAUCAAAAAUUUUAGGAAUUGAAUAUUAUUUAAUUAAUAUAAAUUUUUUUAUUGGGGUGAUAUUAAAAAUUAAUUAACUUUUAAUUUUUUAAUCAUUAAUAUAUGUUUAUUAGAUCCAAUUUUAUUGAUUUCAAGAAAAAGUUACCUUAGGGAUAACAGCGUAAUUAUUUUUGAGAGUUCUUAUCGAUAAAUUAGAUUGCGACCUCGAUGUUGGAUUAAGAAAAGAUUUUUGGUGAAGAUUUUAAUUAUCUAGGUCUGUUCGACCUUUAAAUUCUUACAUGAUCUGAGUUCAGACCGGCGUGAGCCAGGUUGGUUUCUAUCUGCUGAAAUAUUUUUGAUAUUAGUACGAAAGGACCAUAUCAAUUAAUUUAAUU
Molecule: ribosomal RNA, 1084 nt
Filed under: Diceroprocta semicincta
Lineage: Eukaryota; Metazoa; Arthropoda; Insecta; Hemiptera; Cicadidae
Description: 16S ribosomal RNA
Rfam family: Archaeal large subunit ribosomal RNA (bases 670-1035)
Source: RNAcentral